This 76-nucleotide transfer RNA is filed under the name Ruminococcaceae bacterium P7. RNAcentral's name for it is "tRNA_Pro_TGG". It matches the Rfam family "tRNA". Rfam says of the family: Transfer RNA (tRNA) molecules are approximately 80 nucleotides in length. Their secondary structure includes four short double-helical elements and three loops (D, anti-codon, and T loops). Further hydrogen bonds mediate the characteristic L-shaped molecular structure. tRNAs have two regions of fundamental functional importance: the anti-codon, which is responsible for specific mRNA codon recognition, and the 3' end, to which the tRNAs corresponding amino acid is attached (by aminoacyl-tRNA synthetases). tRNAs cope with the degeneracy of the genetic code in two manners: having more than one tRNA (with a specific anti-codon) for a particular amino acid; and 'wobble' base-pairing, i.e. permitting non-standard base-pairing at the 3rd anti-codon position. Lineage: Bacteria; Bacillati; Bacillota; Clostridia; Eubacteriales; Oscillospiraceae. The record is from RNAcentral.
CGGGGUGUAGCGCAGCUGGUAGCGCGCCUGGUUUGGGACCAGGAUGUCGGGGGUUCAAAUCCCUUCACUCCGACCA